CAGAGGGGGCAAGCGUUAUUCGGAAUUAUUGGGCGUAAAGGGCGCGUAGGCGGCUUUGCAAGUGACGGGUGAAAUCCCUCGGCUUAACCGAGGAACUGCCUGUCAAACUGCAUGGCCUGAGACCGGGAGAGGUGAGUGGAAUUCCCAGUGUAGCGGUGAAAUGCGUAGAUAUUGGGAGGAACACCAGUGGCGAAGGCGGCUCACUGGACCGGUACUGACGCUGAUGCGCGAAAGCGUGGGGAGCAAACAGGAUUAGAUACCCUGGUAGUCCACGCCGUAAUCGAUGAGUGCUUGGUGUAGCGGGUAUCGACCCCUGCUGUGCCGAAGUCAACACAUUAAGCACUCCGCCUGGGGAGUACGGUCGCAAGGCUG
RNAcentral lists this ribosomal RNA (372 nucleotides) under uncultured organism. RNAcentral describes it as "bacterial SSU rRNA". It matches the Rfam family "Bacterial small subunit ribosomal RNA", at positions 526 to 896 of the family's 1533-position model. The record is from RNAcentral.